CGAAUCUUAAGCAUCGUCCUGGUGAAUAAUGAUAGACAGAAAGUUAUCUUCUCAAUUUUGGGACUGAAGUCGAAACAUAAUAAAAUUGGCUUGAAUAAAACAAGAGCAUCUGCUGAACAAAAAAUUUCAACGAACAGAGAGAAAAUAAAAUAAAAAUUUUCAUGUGUGUUAGGUAAAUACUUAUCCGUCAAGAAAAUUGAUAGAACACUGACCAUAUGAGAAAAUUAUUCUUGCUGCUAUGCUGCUAAAUUAUAAGGUUAAAAGAUGAAUACAUAGUGAAAUUGGAUUGCUCUAAGACAGGCGGGAGAUAAAAAUUUGUUAUCUAUACAAUAUGAUUUUUAUUUUAAAACGAAUCGACAUUAUUCGCGCGCGGAUUAGCGGAGGAUGUUAUCGUAAAUGUAUCGAACGCGUUUUGUUCUCGUGCAUUUAAAUAAAACUAGCCAGUUUUUAUUUUAAGGACGUAAUUAUAAUUCGUGGUAUCAAAAUAUUCUAAUGGUGAACAUUUAUCAGAGACCUUCUGCCAGAUUCCAUGAAUAAUAAUUGUACCUAUAUUUAUUAACUAGCACAUAGGUGAUGACAAUCGGCAGUAAACAGGACGUUAUUUUAUCCAAAUUGAACAAUCCAUCUAAGCGCCAAAUCAGCUAAGACCGCAAUGGAGCCGGUUGUAAAUGUGAUUAUAAUAGUGUUUAUAGUAGCAAUAAUAACACUUCUUCUGAAAUGCUGUAACGACUGUAUUAGAGGUGGUAAUAAUAAUAAUUAUCUGGGAAGAACCCCUAAAGCGGAUUAUCGUUAUUAUCCUAACAGCAGCAAUGUCGGUGGGGUGGGAGUAGACGGAGCAAGUGUGAGUGUUGCAGGAUUUGAUGGUGGGGGAGCUGGAUAUGAUGGUGGGGGUGGUGCGAUGGAUAGCGGUGGUGGUGGCGGUGGGUUUGAUGGUAGCGGUGGAGGAGGUGAUAGUGGUGGUGGUGGAGGAGGUGGUGAUAGUGGCGGUGGCGGAGGGGGUGAGUAAGAAUUAAAAUUAUCAUACUCAUUAGGUUGGGUACUCUUUUACUCCAUCUUCUGCAAAAUGAUAUGGGGAUUCGAAAAACACGGGGGGGGGGGGUAAAACAUAGAUAUACCAUGGUAAAAUUUUUGGGUCUCAGGCUCAUGCUCAUACCUCUGUCUGUCUACCGCGCUUUAAAAUUUUAAAAUUUAUUAUUCAGAAAAUCGCUAGAAAAUUUAGAAAUUUAUUUCAACAAUGAUUGAUUAAAUAUCUAGGUAAGUAGCCUAUGUAGGGUACCUAUUUGAAAGUUGAAAAAAAAGUUUUUGAAAUUUUCAUAGAACUUCAGAAUAAUUACCUACUUCAAAAAUCGUCAACACCUGAUAUUAAGAUAUAUUUUUUUUUUUUGAAAAAAAUUAAUUUUAUUUUCAAUUUAAAUUCAAAAGUUUAAAAUCCCAAUAGAUUUUUCCAUGUUUCUUUUAAUACCAUAUCAAGCUUUUUUUGAAAUCUCCCUUCAACUUUCUGGGAAAAAAGUCGAAGAUGACCCACCUUGACUUAGAGUUUAUAAUAUUACCCAUAGGCAUGGAUAUUUUUGCAUGCAUUACUUACCUGCGUCAAAGAAUAAUUGUGAUAUUAAUUUUUACAAUGAAGUAGAUAUGGUAGAAUUUAAGAAUGUACAUAGGCUUAUAUCUAUCCUAAAUUAAACUGUAUGUUGAAAAUUCUUAUUGAAAAAUAAUAAAUUCAGGAAGUUGGUUGGUAUAUCUAUCUUUUAAAAAAAAUUCAUAUAGAGAAAUGCCUGCAUGGUAGUCGUUGAAAUGACAUUUUGGCGUUUUAAUGCCUGUUUUUCACAAUGGAAAAUGUGUCCUGCUGAAUGUGUAGUGUACCAUUGUGUACCUUUUAGGCCUACCUAUCGGCUAUCACUCGGGUCUCAGGUAUUGAAUAAAUACUUCUUCUGUACACGUGUACAGUUAAUAGCUAUGUAGCAACCAACAAGUAAACACAAAACAGCUGAAAAUACCUGCUGGUAUCUUUUCGAGCAGUGAUGCAACUCACAAAAAAGUUGACUGCUUUUUGUUUAAAACUUCUACUCAAUUCAUUUAAACUCAAUAUCUACUUAAUAAUUAAUUAAAGGGUAGAAAACUAUAUUUGAAAAUAAUUGUGAUAAAAGAUAGAUACGAAUUCUCACACUGUACAAAAUCCGCACAUGCGGCAUUUACUUGUAAGUAUAAUAUUCCAAAACAUUGUAUGUAUCAUUCUGGAUUUUUGUAAAAGAAAAGAACCACGUAGAGAAUGUUUUCGUUCGCUGGAAGAGGAACAAUAGUCCAUUUUGUUUGUACUAUAGGUAUGCGAUGUCACGUAGAGGGGUAGAAAAGAAUUAUAGGUCUUUAUCUACCUGUAGUCCUCUGGAGGCGAUGCAACCUUGCACUCGAAUGUUAUCUAGCUGUUAUCUACAAUGUAAAUAAGUGAAUGUAUAAUGUUCUGUUUUUAAAUAAAACCACGCUGUUGUCAAAUUUGGAGCACAUACCUGAUACCUAAGGAAUUUCUUGAAUAAAAAUAUUCGAAUGCUGAUCAUCAAAUGUUAAGGCGGACUUGAUGAAUUAUUUUUCAUGCGUGAACGACGAUUACAGUCAUAUGUACAGCAAAUAGAUUUCCAUACUUAUACCUACUCGUAUGAACCAUAAACGGAUCGUCAAAUCAGUUAAACUUGCAAUGGAGGACAUUAAUAUCACCUUACUCCAGAUUUUAAUAGCAGUAAUCCUAGGCUCAGUAUUGUUAGUGGCGAUCAUACUUGUAGUGAAAUUCUUUGUUAAAUGUUGCGAUCGUAAAUGUUGUGGUGGUGAAAGUGAUCAAACUCAAAGAACCAGCAAUCACCGAAGAGGGAGAAUCUCAGACGUGAAUCACUCGUAUUAUAAUAAUCACGAUAACAGUAAUUCAUUUGGUCUCGCCGGCGUCCCCGGAUUUAAUUUGUUUGGAAUGGGGGCAAAUAAUAGUGGAUGUGUCAGUAGUGAUAUCACAUAUUUUAGCGGAGGUGGUAAUAAUUCAUGUGAUAUUGGCGGAGGUGGUGGAUUUGGAGGGGGUGGAUUCGACUGUGGUGGAGGAGGUGGAGGUGGAGGCGGUUUUGAUGGUGGUGGAGGUGGAGCAUGCGGCUGUGAUUAAAUUCUGUUCAAGUUGUACGUACAUAUUUAUGUUCAACUUUUAUACUUACAAUAUUACAUAAGUACCUAUCAGUUUUUUGUAUGUGUUGAAAUUGUGAUAUUUUAAAAAUAGGUAGCUAGGGGUUCUAAGGUUAAUUUACGUAGGUAGAUACGAGUAUGUUUUAUAAAUAACCAGAAAUCGAAAAAAAAACAUUAAUCAUAGACAUUUUUAUCCGAUUCUGAUUUUUGAAAUUCUGUUCUUUAUUUCUUGUCUGCUGAAUUCCCAAGCUCGAGAUAUUUAUGUGGUUUAUUUCAAAUUACCAUGCAGAACUGUCCCGGUAAUCUAUUUAAUUGAACAUUGAAUAGAAUUGAAAUUGUUCAUUUACAAAGAACAUACUUAGUUCAUAGAUGUGAAAAAGACCCAAAAGAGGAAGUCGAACUGAUGAAUGUUUAAUGUCUUCAAUGAUAUCACAAUUCAUAGUCUAAAGUUCAUACAGUCGUUAGUCUUGCUGAUGUUCCUAAA
Planococcus citri (citrus mealybug) is the source of this 3634-nucleotide long non-coding RNA. RefSeq lists it as uncharacterized. The transcript is spliced from 3 exons. NCBI's taxonomy places the organism in Eukaryota, Metazoa, Arthropoda, Insecta, Hemiptera, Pseudococcidae. The record is from RefSeq and is a predicted model, not a curated record.